CCCAGACUCCUACGGGAGGCAGCAGUGGGGAAUAUUGCACAAUGGGGGAAACCCUGAUGCAGCAACGCCGCGUGAGUGAAGAAGUAUUUCGGUAUGUAAAGCUCUAUCAGCAGGGAAGAAAAUGACGGUACCUGAGUAAGAAGCCCCGGCUAACUACGUGCCAGCAGCCGCGGUAAUACGUAGGGGGCAAGCGUUAUCCGGAUUUACUGGGUGUAAAGGGAGCGUAGACGGCGAUGCAAGUCUGAAGUGAAAGCCCGGGGCUCAACCCCGGGACUGCUUUGGAAACUGUAUGGCUGGAGUGCUGGAGAGGCAAGCGGAAUUCCUAGUGUAGCGGUGAAAUGCGUAGAUAUCAGGAGGAACACCGGCGGCGAAGGCGGCCUGCUGGACCGUGACUGACGUUGAGGCUCGAGAGCGUGGGGAGCAAACAGGAUUAGAUACCCGAGUA
Molecule: ribosomal RNA, 445 nt
Filed under: uncultured bacterium
Lineage: Bacteria
Description: bacterial SSU rRNA
Rfam family: Bacterial small subunit ribosomal RNA
Source: RNAcentral